UCACUUCAGCAGCAUGUGCACUAAAAUUGGAAUAAUACAGAGAAGAUCAGCGUGGCUGCUAAGCAAGGAUGGCGUGCAAAUUUAUGAAGGGUUCCAUAUUUUU
Small nuclear RNA from Echinops telfairi (small Madagascar hedgehog), 103 nucleotides. The record is from RefSeq and is a predicted model, not a curated record. Lineage: Eukaryota; Metazoa; Chordata; Mammalia; Afrosoricida; Tenrecidae.